Centropristis striata (black sea bass) is the source of this 418-nucleotide long non-coding RNA. RefSeq lists it as uncharacterized. Lineage: Eukaryota; Metazoa; Chordata; Actinopteri; Perciformes; Serranidae. The transcript has 3 exons. The record is from RefSeq and is a predicted model, not a curated record.
UACAAAAUCUAUGCAGCAGAAACUGAUAUCUUUUUUUUCUUUUUUUAAUUUCACACAUUCUUCUUCCUGGCCACAACAUGGCGCCUACGUUACCCACAAUGCAACUCAACCGCUCACCGUUUCUUACCAGGUUUGACAGAGUUGACCCAGUAGCGGCUAAUUUAGCUUCAAGCUGCUGGUCUGAAUCACAGAUGAAGAGCGGCCUACACACUUCUGACCUGCCCCAGCACACACUCAUUCUACAGUAGAUGUAAAGUCACGGUAGAAUUCCCUCUAUUUGGUGAUUGAGGGAUUCUUCAAGCAGUUCCCGCCAUUCAGGCUGCGCUCAAAGACCCACGGAUGAGGAAGCUGACUGAGAAGGACAAACUGGUAGAGAAGUUGGGCACUGAUGACUUCAGGAAGGAAAAGCAGUCUGUGG